RNAcentral lists this ribosomal RNA (301 nucleotides) under uncultured bacterium. RNAcentral describes it as "partial 16S ribosomal RNA". It matches the Rfam family "Bacterial small subunit ribosomal RNA", at positions 509 to 808 of the family's 1533-position model. The record is from RNAcentral.
CAGUAGCCGCGGGAAAACGAAGGGGGCUAGCGUUGUUCGGAUUUACUGGGCGUAAAGCGCACGUAGGCGGAGAUUUAAGUCAGGGGUGAAAUCCCGAGGCUCAACCUCGGAACUGCCUUUGAUACUGGGUUUCUUGAGUCCGGAAGAGGUGAGUGGAACUGCGAGUGUAGAGGUGAAAUUCGUAGAUAUUCGCAAGAACACCAGUGGCGAAGGCGGCUCACUGGUCCGGAACUGACGCUGAGGUGCGAAAGCGUGGGGAGCAAACAGGAUUAGAUACCCCAGUAGUCCCUGUCUCUUAACC